RNAcentral lists this unclassified non-coding RNA (280 nucleotides) under Hevea brasiliensis (rubber tree). The record is from RNAcentral. Lineage: Eukaryota; Viridiplantae; Streptophyta; Magnoliopsida; Malpighiales; Euphorbiaceae.
UCAGUGUGCAAAAUUCCGGGUAGGUUUAACAUCAUCAUACAUGAGGAAUACAUGCAACAGACAACUUCAGUUAUUGUCUUUGUGCAGUACUUCCCUGGAACUUUCACUUUUACUCCUUGACUUUAUAAUAAAUGUUUAAUCCCUUUUGUUCGAUAUCUUAGGAGAUGCAAUUGUGACAAGUAGAUGUUAGUUAAACGUUUUAUUUCCCUUAUCAAAUUUACCACCCUUAGAAGCAAGAAAAUUUUCUGAAAGUUCAUUGAAGGUUGAUGUUAGGAAAGGG